CCAGUUUGAAUGAAGCUAGCUAGCGAUGAUCGGACCAUCGGACUUAAGCCAAUGAACUAGCUGUCUUGGCAGUUCCGGUGUCCCGUUUCAAGUUUUGAAUUCACAAACGAAGCGCCCAUUCUAGUGCCGUCGUCUUGUAGCGAGUGUAAAGGAAGGAAGAUUCAUAGGCCUAAGAAAAUUUGCCAAGUCGCAUUGAAGUAAAAACGGGUCAAGCAUCAAGGCCCAAUCGAUCACAAAGAACAUACAGAAGACCAUGUUUGGUGAGCACAUGAUUCACUCUAAAAAGUACUGUACGCUAUGUGAAGCAAGAAGUAAACAACGAAUAAUCGUGUAUUUUCUG
Anneissia japonica is the source of this 340-nucleotide long non-coding RNA. RefSeq lists it as uncharacterized. The transcript has 2 exons. The record is from RefSeq and is a predicted model, not a curated record. Lineage: Eukaryota; Metazoa; Echinodermata; Crinoidea; Comatulida; Comatulidae.